This 21-nucleotide non-coding RNA is filed under the name Caenorhabditis elegans. The record is from RNAcentral. Lineage: Eukaryota; Metazoa; Nematoda; Chromadorea; Rhabditida; Rhabditidae.
UCAAGGCGCUUUAAACGUUAU